CCCUUAGAUGUUCUGGGCCGCACGCGUGCUACACUGAGUAAUUCAAUGGGUAAGGGAACGCUAGAGCAUUACCUAAUCUUGAAAUUUGCUCGUGAUGGGGAUCGACGGUUGCAAUUUUCCGUCGUGAACGAGGAAUACCUUGUAGGCGCAUGUCAUCAUCAUGCGCCGAAUACGUCCCUGCCCUUUGUACACACCGCCCGUCGCUCCUACCGAUUGAGUGAUCCGGUGAGGCUCUGGGACCUGGACGGAGAGAGCGUUUCGCUUGUUCUGUUUGGGAAACUUGGUCGAACCUUAUCAUUUAGAGGAAGGAGAAGUCGUAACA
Molecule: ribosomal RNA, 322 nt
Filed under: uncultured eukaryote
Lineage: Eukaryota
Description: partial 18S ribosomal RNA
Rfam family: Eukaryotic small subunit ribosomal RNA
Source: RNAcentral